RNAcentral lists this ribosomal RNA (440 nucleotides) under uncultured bacterium. RNAcentral describes it as "partial 16S ribosomal RNA". It matches the Rfam family "Bacterial small subunit ribosomal RNA", at positions 338 to 795 of the family's 1533-position model. The record is from RNAcentral.
CCUACGGGUGGCAGCAGUGAGGAAUAUUGGUCAAUGGCCGGAAGGCUGAACCAGCCAUGCCGCGUGGGUGAAGAAGGGCCUAGGCGCGUAAAGCCCUGUCAGCAGGGGAGAAAAUGACGGCACCUGAAGCAGAAGCCCCGGCUAACUUCGUGCCAGCAGACGCGGUAAUACGGAGGGGGCAAGCGUUAUCCGGAUUUACUGGGUGUAAUGGGGGCGCAGAGGGGGAUGCAAGCCAGGAGUGAAAGCCUGAGGCCCAACCCCGGGACUGCCCUUGGAACUGGGUGGCUGGAGUGCAGGAGGGGCAGGCGGAAUUCCUGGUGUAGCGGUGAAAUGCGUAGAUAUCAGGAGGAACACCGGUGGCGAAGGCGGCCUGCUGGACUGCAACUGACGUUGAGGCCCGAAAGCGUGGGGAGCAAACAGGAUUAGAUACCCUUGUAGUC